Macaca mulatta (Rhesus monkey) is the source of this 1860-nucleotide non-coding RNA. NCBI's taxonomy places the organism in Eukaryota, Metazoa, Chordata, Mammalia, Primates, Cercopithecidae. The record is from RefSeq and is a predicted model, not a curated record.
UGCUCUUCCAAUCUGAUGUUUCAGUUCGUCCAUUUAACAGAUAUGAAGAGCAUUUUAAGAGAUACAGCCUCUGGAAAUGGAUCAAACUCUAACUCAUGGCAUACUAGAUAUGUUUGUCAAUAAACUUAUGACAUGAAAAAAAAACUGUAACUAACAUCAAUUAAACAAAUGAUUAGGUUGGAAGAUACAACAGUCAAGAGUUGCACAAUGGACUUUCUAAUAAUUGAUGGGUAUUACUCCUUUCCCUUCUGCACAAAACAUAACACAUCCAAAUUUUCAGUGUGUGUAGUAUCAGUAUUGAAAAAAUCCUUGACCCUUAAAAUGUUUUGCCGUUUAAGAAUAAAAGUUCAUUGCACUUUAUUCUUGAUCUCUGAUCACUACUGAAGGAUAUUCGAAGAGAGAUGUUAUGAUUUAGCUAUAACCUGUUCUUGGUGAAGUGAUAGCUUUGAUGUCCAGAUAAAAGUACUUUUCAAUUCUAACAAAACAAAAUAAAAAGGUGUGCAGAAGAUGAAAGUCCUCAGGUAAUAUAAGAAGAGAAGGAAAAUAUUGAGAUAAAUAUCUUUGAGGUCUCCAACCACUUUUUAUAUUCCUAGUGAAUAAUUUGGACUAAGUGGUUUAGCCAUGACAGAACCUUACAGAGUGGGAUCAUAUAUUUGAGGGAAAUAAUAUAGAGUAUAAGUUCUACAAACAUAGGAAUUAUGCUUUUGCUUUCCUGUAAAGGCUAGGAUAGGACUUUACCCCCAGUAUAUGCUUCAUAAAUGCCAGUGAUGAAAAGGAGAAGGACUACUGUACUUCAGGGUCAUUUUAAUGAAAUAACAGAUCAGAAUGGAGUUCUGGAAUCUUACUCAUAUUCAACCAAGCAAGUACUACAUUUCAGAACCUAACAUCUAACAGACAUCUGUAUUAGUCAAGGUUCUCCAGAGAAACAAAACCGGUAAGAGAUUUAUGUGUUUAAUCCAUAUACUUUUUGAGCCAGAUUUUCUCAUUUAUAAAGUGCCUUUUUCCAUUUUAUAAAGAUAGUCUGACAGAUAGCAUGUGCUUUCCCACACAAAUCUGUCAGCUCGCUCAUCUUUAUCCACCACACCCACCUAUGGUUCAAAUCUGAAAACUUUCCAAAGUAGAGUAUGCCAGUCAGCUAGAGGCAGUUAGAUGAAAAUUGAGAAGUAAAAAUUCAUCUUAAAUCUUUGUUUAUCUGAGAUCUAAGCUUCACCACAGUAGAUAACUGCUGGAUGGAUAAAGGUCUUAGUCAGCUGGGGCCUUUGUGGCAUCUCUCAGGCUCCAGGUGGGGUAUAUAAAUAGUAUAUUACUCUUAAAUGUGUAUGUGUUACCCUUAAGAACCACUUCUUUAGGCAUUUAGACAUCCAAGAAUGUCUAAGAAAACCCUUAUUUGUACAUUGAUACAUGGGCUUGUUUUAAAAAAUCAGAGCUUGUUACAAUCCAAAUACUUUCUUGGAAACCCAAAGUGUAUAUCUUGUGCUGAAUGAUAAAUUCUACCUCUCCUGUAGAAGCCCAAUAAUAUCUUCAGUGAAAGGGAGUGACAAACAUUUCACAUGGAAAGAGGUGGAUGUUUUUCUUGGAAAACUCAGGGUGCAUGUCAUUUCUUAAAAGAAAAAUAUUUUCUUUUCUGAAGUACACAUUAUGGAUCCUCAGCGACAUUUAUUUAAGGAGAGGCCUACAAUGAGUCUAAGCUCAUAAAUCUUGUUUGCUGUUCUUUUCCUAAUCCAGUGGAUAAGAAAAAUCAGACUCUUUACAUAUUAUAUUCUGUUCCCCCAUUGUUUUUAGUUGUGCUAGCCAGAUUUUAUUUUUAAUUUUUGUGGGUACAUAGUAGAUACAUAUUUAUGAGUUACAAGAGAUGUUUUG